Molecule: ribosomal RNA, 253 nt
Filed under: uncultured bacterium
Lineage: Bacteria
Description: partial 16S ribosomal RNA
Rfam family: Bacterial small subunit ribosomal RNA
Source: RNAcentral
UACGUAGGUGGCAAGCGUUGUCCGGAUUUACUGGGCGUAAAGAGCGCGCAGGCGGUCGGCCAAGUCGAGUGUGGAAGCCCCCGGCUCAACUGGGGAGGGUCAUUCGAUACUGGUCGACUCGAAGGCAGGAGAGGGAAGCGGAAUUCCCGGUGUAGUGGUGAAAUGCGUAGAUAUCGGGAGGAACACCAGUGGCGAAGGCGGCUUCCUGGCCUGUUCUUGACGCUGAGGCGCGAAAGCUAGGGGAGCAAACGGG